UACGUGAUAUACAUGUUUAUUCAUGAUAGUAUAUGCGUGUGAUAAAUGAUUUGGAUGACAUAGUGUCGUGAGUUGAUUGAUAUUGGAUAAGAAUAUAUGGAUUAUAGUGAUUGGAUCUUGUUGGUUGAUUGUUGAUUGAGAUAGGAUAACAGGUGGAUAGUCUAAUAAAUAGACGAGACGAUGUCGGAUUUUCGAUAGGAUUCAUAUGAUAAUUGAUUGGUAAUAUGUUAUGUGGAAUAUGACUUGACUAUAUAUUAGAGUCAAAGCAUGAUUAUGUGUUAAGUGAUAUGUGAUAGGUUUAAAGGGGUAUAUAAGUGGGUAUCGAUAUACGUGAUAUGUAUAUGCGAUAUAUUGUUUAGUGACUAUAGUAUUAUCUUAUUCUCGUAAAGGAUUUGGACGAGACGUGUACGCUCGAAGACGUCAGAAAGUCGGAAUGGUAUUGCAAAGCGAAUAAGGGAUGAAUCGAGUAAGCGAAGCGAUGUGGCGAAUAGAGUAUAGCUAGAGAUGGUCUAGAGAUUACGAGAUGCAUAGAUUGUGAAAGUUGAAAGAUGAGAUAGAGAUGUGAGACUGGAGUCAGAUUUAAGGCAAGUAUCCUAAACCUUUCCCUUGGAUAUAUUGCAAAUAUUCUGAUCCAUUCCUUUGGUAUAUGUUUCAAGUAUUCAUACCUUUCUUUUCAAUGUUCGAAAGUGCGAGUAUUCUGAACCAUUCUUUCUAAUCUUCAAGUUUCUAAAGAAUUUCCGUUUUACAAAUUAAUUCGAAGUUCAGAUUGUCAUUGAAGCAUGUGUUGCUCAGUGAUAGUUAGAGCUUUGAAUGAAUUGGGAUCUUCUUGAUUAUUCAACCCGCCAUUGUCAUGCUGGUUUAGCAGGCUAAAUUCAGUUGCUUAGCCGAUAAUGGAGGAUACUGAAUAGUUGAGGAUUUCCUGAACUGUGAUUUAUGAAAUGAUGGAUCAUGAUUUAUGAAUAGAUUAUUAUCAAAGUUUGAAUUGGAAUUAUUCUGUUGUUGAUGAUAUUUAUGAUGAUGUUCUGUUAAUUUACAUUGGCUUCUUGAAUUGAAUUAGAGAAUUGGAUUAUUGUUUUUAUAUAAACCUGUGGACCAGAUUCGUGGUCAUGUUAGGCCAAUGAGUGCCUUGGAUCCAGUGAUAGAGCAUGGCGGGGCCUGCUCGGGGUUAGUGCGGAACUGAUCAGCUGCCUAACCUUGGUUUUAAUUAAAAUGUGAUAGUCCAAUUCAAUAAUUCUUUUGGAAAGAUUGAAUUCCUCAGUAUUCAAUUGCUGCAAGGUAUUGUGGUGUUCUUAUACAAUACCUAAACUCGUGAACUCAGGUUGAACCCUUUUAUAUCUUGAACUCGUGAAAUUCUAUUAUAUCAUUUCAGAACUAUCAUUGUUUAUUAUUACUUGCUGAGCAUUGUUGCUCACCCUUGCUAUUCCUUUCUAACCAUUUCAGAAAGGCUUAAAGAUGAGAUGAUUGAUUGAGAUUGUGAGUAAGGCUAAUGCUAGGCGAGGAGACAGAGUUGAGGAUCCAGUGGUCGAGGAGUGUUCAGGAAAGUUGAUGAGGUUGGUGCAAGCUGGAAUAGUUGACAGUGAUUCUUCUUAUCGAAGAUGAUCUGAUUUGGUAAGAGAUGUUGUGUAAUAAUAGUGGUAGAUUCUAAUUUCAAUACUGUAACCUGGAUGCGAUCCUGUUGCUUUUAGGGGGUUUAAAUGUUCUCUUUCGAAUCAUUUAUUAAAGUUUAAAUGUUCUCUUGAAAUUAUCCUAUUAUGGCUUUCAAGAUUGAAAUUCAGGUUUUGAAAUCAUUCGAUUUAUGUUCUCAUUCAAAUCUUUUAUUAAAUGUUUUCACGUUUUAAAUUCUUUUGGAUUUUCAUUAUCAUUUAAAAAAAAAAAAUACAGGUUUUCAAAAGUGUUUAAAAAUGGGUUUUAUGUGGUGACGUCAGAAUCCAGGCCCCCGGAUUCUCGGACCGUCACAGUUGGUAUCAGAGCAACAGGUUAUAAGUAUUUGAAAUUAGAAUAUAGAUCAUAGUUAUAGGUUUUCUAGAGAAGAAUGUGGUGUAACCUCACAUAGAGGUAUGGUCGGACUAUUUAGGAAUAGUCUAGAGAUGUGAGUGAAGCAUAGAGUUUAGUUAGAUGAUCAAGUUAAUUGUGGAUAUCUAAAGAGAUUAGGAUUCUUAAGUUUAGACAUAUGAUUUCUAGUAUGUUGAUUAAUUGAGAUGGUGAAUUAUGGGAAAGGUCAGUAUUAGACCUAUAUAGAAGAGUUUGAUAGUGAAUGAUUGAGUUGAGAAUGGUGAAAAUGCAGAGUUCAGAGUAUUCUGACUAUACUGCAUAUUUGAAAUUGGAUUAUUGUAUUGAUUUGAGGAUGAUAUAAAUGCAUGGUUCAUAGUAUGUUGACCAUGUCAGAUAUUUGGAAGAUGUAUAUUGUUUUGAGUGAAGAUAUGAAGAGUAAGUGUAGAGUAUGAGUUGUAUUGGAUUAGAAGGAGAGAUUGGUAGAUAGAGGUUGAUAGGUGAGAAGUGAAUGAUAGAGAGUACGUGGAAUUGAGUCCAGUUAUUAGAGAUGAUGUCUACGAGUAAGUUAGAACGUUAGUCCUCGACGACAACGCUUCGAGCUAAUCGGGAUUUCAAAUGGCAUCAAGGUGGGCCCAUAACCCACAGGUUGAUGAUCCAGACAAUCGAAGAUACGUUACGUGUUUGUGCUAUGGAUUUCAAAGGCAACUGGGAUAAAGUAGAAGAAUGUAAACUACAUGGGCCAGAGUUAUUACGGACGAUAACGUCUACGAUGAUAUUUUACGAGGCUAAUACGAGUCAAAUCGAUUGAUUAUCGGGAACGUUGAGAAGAAGACUUACGUCGAACAACGAUUUAUUGAAGUAGAGUCGAAAUCUGAGAAGACCUUGGCAAUACCUCUCUUCAACUAAAGAUUCUUUUGAUUGUUUUCUCAUCAGUGAGAUAUUAUUAUGAUAUCUUUUCUACAAAAGUUUUGAUAAAUGAGAUCUUCAAUUUCUCAAAUUCUAAGAUGACAUUGAUAUUGAUGAUUGGUAUGAGUUGGAAGACAAAGAUGUGUGAUAAAGGAUUGUUGUGAAGAGACAGUGAUGUUCUUUGAUAUUGUUUGACAUUUCUUGACAGUCCUUGAUAUUAUUUCAUCUUCUUGGAUAUCCCAUGAUGUUCUUUGAUAUUUUGAUAUCCGUUGAUAUUCGUUGAUAUUCUUUGACAUUCUUUGAUAUUCCUUGAUAUCUUUUCGAUGUUCCUUAAAAUAUUCCUCGAUAAUCCUUAACAUUUCUUGAUGCUCUUUGAGAUUUCUUGGAUUCUUUCCAUUUGAUUGGGAUGAACAACUCUAUUUAUAGGGGACACAAGGUAUACCUGUCUGUGUGAUAGGAGUUGGAUGGGACGCCAUCACUUGUGUGUGUUGUGAUUACAAGAAGGUUAACAACCUUUAGUAGUGUCUAAUAUAGACACGCAACAUUAAGUUCAUUUGAUCGUAUUGAUCUCCCAGUCACUCUUGUAUUCCAAUGUGACCUACUUUGAAAGCAUUUUGUUCCUCCAAAAUUCCCAAAGAUUGAUUCUUGGGAAAACGAAUUUGGCAAUUGUGAAAGUUUUGAUUCUCCUGUAUUUUUAAAAGCUAAAGGUAUGCCAAGGUUGAUCAAAAGAUGGAUGACGAUACGAUAUUACGAAGUGUGUACGGUUUCGUUUUCUUCGGGGGGUUCCGAGGACGGAAUCCUUAUAAGGGGGUAGAAUGUAAUAUCCCAUAUUUUUUAAAUUUAGACUUGAUUGUUAUAAAUCUAUCUGUCUAAAUAUUAUUGUUGGCUUUAGUUGAGAAGUGAAUUGAUUAUGUGAAUAGCUUUAUAUGAUUAUACCUGUUUUGUGGAUUAAUAUGGAUUUUACAAAUAUUGCAUCCUCCUUCUUUCUCUGAUUCCGAGGACGGAAUCCCUAUAAGGAGGGUAGAUUGUAAUGACCCGGAUUUUUUAAAAAUAUUUUUAUUAGUAUUAAAAGUGAUUUUUCUUUAAAGAAGGGAAUAAGAUUUAAUAUUUUAUUCCAGUUUAAGGAGUUUUCAAAAUUUUAUACUAAACCCCGGGUUAUUGUGUUAUUGAUAAAUGAUUAUAUUUUUAAAACUGAUUUUCAUAUAUUGUUUCGAAAAUUCUAGAUGAUUAUUAUGUGAAUAUAUGUGUGAUGUGAGUAAGUGGUAUUGGUGGAUUUGUUGGUUAAUUAAUUAUGGUUAAUUAUGAGUAUUAUAUGAUUAAUAUAUGAAUUUUUGUGAAUUUUAUAUUAUCUGGUUUAUUGCGUUAACUGCUCAUAUGUGUUCGUAUUUGAGAGAUUUCAAUUUCUAUAUGCUCAGGAGAAAAUAUAGUUUAUUUGGAUAUUUUCAUAUCGAUUUAUGGAAUGUUAGAUGAUUUUAUAAUCGAUUUACGGAUUUAAUUGCGUAUAUUUAUAUUUAAUUAUUAAUUAUUUGACUUCCGUAAAACCGUCCACUCGUAACGAGGUAGCAAAUUUUCUUCCCGGAAGUUUCAACAAAACUGACCUUUAGCCUAAUUUGAAUAUUCCGGACACUUUUCGUGUUUUGACUUUUUCGAUCCGGAGUACGGUUUUCCCCGGAGUCGGUCCGGCGGAGUUUUUCGGGUAUUUUAAUUGUUGAUAAUUAUCCAGUUUGUCUCGAUAAACGUGAAACGAGAUAUUUUGAUUAUUAUAUUAAUUCUUAUCUUGUAAUAAUUGCAAUGGGACCCGCAUACUAAUGACUGAUUAAAAAGCCCCGUUUUGAUGAUUAUCUUGAAAACCAGUACCGAUUGGACCCCGCUUUAUUAAUAUAAAGCUAUUAAAUACGUAUUUUCAUGUCAUAAACGAUCCAAAGGGGUACCAAUUAUUUGUAAAUAUAAAUAGACCUUUCUAGAGCUUAUUUUCACCCGUAAAAUCAUUUCACCAGUUUCUUUGCACGAAUACCGAGAGAAACCGAGCGGUGUUCUUCGUGUUCUUCAUAAUCAAACGAAGAUUUGAAGGUGUUAUUGGAGUCAGAAUCAAGCGUGCAAAUAGUCAAAUCGAAGAUAUCGAAGAGUAGAACCCAAAUCAAUCAUCAAAAACAACAUGAGAUUCACAGGUAGGGAGUAAUUGAAGUUUUAAAAUUCGAAUUAUUAUGAUUUAAAUAGUGAAUUUUUGCAAACGUGUUUGUUUGAUUGUUUGGAUGAUUCCAUGUUGUAGAACGUGUUUUUCUCGUCGUUUUGGUAUAUUAUAUGUUGAAUUUUGAGUUCGGAAACAUCUAGAAAAGUGGGUUUGAUUAUUUGGUUGUGUUCUUGGUGUUCUUGAGGUGUUCAUAAAUAUUUUCACCGGAUUUUUUAUUAGAUGAAUCUGGGUGCAAUAUGAGGGUACCAUCAGGGGUGUUGGGUUACCAGGAGUUUGUUGGUGGUCUUGGAUGUUUCGUGGGUGCUCGAUUUCGAGCAAAUCGGGAAGGGAGGUGACUCGCCGGCGGCGAGUUUUUCCCGUCAUAUUCCAGCCAAACGGCUUGAGGAAUCGCAGAAACGAAGCCAUGUCCAAGUUCCCAGUAGUGUCUAGGCCAUAUCUGGAGGUUUUAGUGUGUGUUGGAGCGCUGUAGCGCCGUUAACGGUGAAGCAGUGGUGGCCGGCGGCAAAUUGCCAUUUGGCCACCCAACUUAUGAAGAUGGUGAAGAUCUGGUAUCGAGGUUUUGAAUCUUACAAAGUAACCCCUGUAACUUCUAAAAGUUACAGUUUAAACCUUGGCCGAAAAGUUUCAAAAGUUUACAAAAUAAACCUUUUGAUUUAAUUUUCUAAAAUUGUUUUAUUUAAUUAUUUUAAAUUUCAAAAAUAGUUUUUAAUUAUUUCUUUAUUCAAAAAUAAAUCUAAAUUAGUUUAUUAAUUAAUUUUAAUUAGUAAUUAAUUAUUUUAAUUGGUCAAUUAAUUUAAAUAUUAAUUGAUUAAUUAUUUUAAUUAAUUAUUAAUUGAUUUUAAUUGAUUAAUUAAUUGGAUUUAAUUAUCCUUUUUGAUUUAAAAAUUCCGAAAAAUAGUUUCGAGCUUUAAAAUAUUUUUCCAAAUUAUAUUCAAGGCUCGAUAAUUGUUUAUGAAUGAUUUCAAGUCCAAUUUCAAGUAUUUGGGACUUGAUUAUUUAUCCGAAAAGUGAUUCUUUUAUCGAUUUUAAUUCCGAAAAAUGUUUAAAAAUUCCAGAAAAUUCCCGAAAAAUCAUUUUGAACCCAAGAUUUGAUUUGACCUCUAUUGGGGUGGGAAACCUUAUGUGUAAUGUGUUGUCUGCUAUUGGUUGGAUGUCUUAUGUGUCGAUAUAAGAGUGAGAAAACGGUUUUAAACAUAUCUUUUGAUCCGUAAGUCGGAAUCGAGUGAAACGAAAGAGAGAUGAAAGCUUAUAAAGUCUAGUUUGGUAUGACAUAAUAAUAUGAUGGAGUCGAGAAUGUGAAUAAUUGUUGUUAAAUGUGCCGAAUGUGAUUAUAUGUUAUUGGAUUGUUAUUAAUUGAUGACUACGUGAUAUAUAUGUCUAUUCUUGAUAUUAUAUACGUGAUAAAUGAUUUGGAUGACAUAGUGUCGUGAGUUGAUUGAUAUUGGAUAAGAAUAUAUGGAUUAUAGUGAUUGGAUCUUGUUGAUUGGUUGUUGAUUGAGAUAGGAUAACAGGUGGAUAGUCUUAUACAUAGAGGAAACGAUGUCGGAAUUUCGAUAAGGAUUGAUAUGAUAAUUGAUUGGUGAUAUGUUAUGUGGAAUAUGAUUGAUUAUAUGUUAGAGUCAAAGCAUGCUUAUGUGUUACGUGGUAUGUGAUAGGUUUAAAGGGGUAUAUAAGUGGAUAUCGAUAUACGUGAUAUGUAUAUGCGAUAUAUUGUUUAGUGACUAUAGCAUUAUCUUAUUCUCGUAAAGGAUUUGGACGAGACGUGUACGCUCGAAGACGUCAGAAAGUCGGAAUGGUAUUGCAAAGCGAAUAAGGGAUGAUUGAGUAAGCGAAGCGAAGUGGCGAAUAGAGUAUAGCUAGAGAUGGUCUAGAGAUUACGAGAUGCAUAGAUUGUGAAAGUGGAAAGAUGAGAUAGAGAUGUGAGACUGGAGUCAGAUUUAAGGCAAGUAUCCUACACCCAUCUUUUGGAUAUCUUGCAAUUAUCCUGAUCCAUUCUUUUCGUAUGUGUUGCAAAUAUUCGUUCCUCUCUUUUUCAUAUUUGGAAAGUGCAAAUAUUUUUAUCCAUCCUUUUCUAAUCCUCCAAAAAUUCAGAUAAUUCCAGUUUUACAAAUUAAUUCGAAGUUCAAAUUGUCAUUGAAGCAUGUGUUGCUCAGUGAUAGUUAGAGCUUUGAAUGAAUUGGGAUCUUCUUGAUUAUUCACCCCGCCAUUGUCAUGCUGGUUUAGCAGGCUAAAUUCAGUUGCUUAGCCGAUAAUGGAGGAUACUGAAUAGUUGAGGAUUUCCUGAACUGUGAUUUAUGAAAUGAUGGAUCAUGAUUUAUGAAUAGAUUAUUAUCAAAGUUUGAAUUGGAAUUAUUCUGUUGUUGAUGAUAUUUAUGAUGAUGUUCUGUUAAUUUACAUUGGCUUCUUGAAUUGAAUUAGAGAAUUGGAUUAUUGUUUUUAUAUAAACCUGUGGACCAGAUUCGUGGUCAUGUUAGGCCAAUGAGUGCCUUGGAUCCAGUGAUAGAGCAUGGCGGGGCCUGCUCGGGGUUAGUGCGGAACUGAUCAGCUGCCUAACCUUGGUUUUAAUUAAAAUGUGAUAGUCCAAUUCAAUAAUUCUUUGGAAAGAUUGAAUUUCUCAGUUUAAAUGCUGCAAGGUAUUGUAAAUCAUUCUAUACAAUACCAUGAACUCAUGAACUCAGGUUGAAUCCUCUUAUAUCUUGAACUCGUGAACUUCUGUUAUAUCAUUUCAGAACUAUCAUUGUUUAUUAUUACUUGCUGAGCAUUGUUGCUCACCCUUGCUAUUCCUUUCUAACCAUUUCAGAAAGGCUUAAAGAUGAGAUGAUUGAUUGAGAUUGUGAGUAAGGCUAAUGCUAGGCGAGGAGACAGAGUUGAGGAUCCAGUGGUCGAGGAGUGUUCAGGAAAGUUGAUGAGGUUGGUGCAAGCUGGAAUAGUUGACAGUGAUUCUUCUUAUUGAGGAUGAUCUGAUUUGGUAAGAGAUGUUGUGUAAUAAUAGUGGUAGAUUCUAAUUUCAAUACUGUAACCUGGAUGCGAU
Molecule: long non-coding RNA, 8120 nt
Filed under: Daucus carota (carrot)
Lineage: Eukaryota; Viridiplantae; Streptophyta; Magnoliopsida; Apiales; Apiaceae
Description: long non-coding RNA (DCAR_LNC005415)
Source: RNAcentral